RNAcentral lists this ribosomal RNA (57 nucleotides) under Ailuropoda melanoleuca (giant panda). RNAcentral describes it as "similar to 28S ribosomal RNA". The record is from RNAcentral. Lineage: Eukaryota; Metazoa; Chordata; Mammalia; Carnivora; Ursidae.
AGCAGAGCAGCUUCCUUGCUGUGAUCUAUUCAAUGUCAGCCCUCCACACAAGGGUUU